This 768-nucleotide ribosomal RNA is filed under the name Triticum aestivum (bread wheat). Its description in RNAcentral is "partial small subunit ribosomal RNA". The record is from RNAcentral. Lineage: Eukaryota; Viridiplantae; Streptophyta; Magnoliopsida; Poales; Poaceae.
AUGCCCUUUCCUCCUAAACCAUCCAAGUCAAAGGAUGAUGAGGAUUUUGAGCGCUUUGCUGAAAUGAUUAGACCUAUUUUCCUACGUAUGCGCUUAACUGAUAUGCUUAAAGUAAAUCCUUAUGCUAAAUAUAUGAAGGAUAUCAUCACAAAUAAAAGAAAGAUACCGGAAGCUGAAAUUUCCACCAUUCUUGCUAAUUACACUUUUAAGAGUGGAAUACCAAAGAAACUUGGAGAUCUGGGUGUACCAACUAUAGCAUGCUCUAUUAAAAGAAAUUAUGUUAAAACUGCUUUAUGUGAUCUUGGAGCCGGUGUUAGUGUUAUGCCUCUCUCUUUAUAUCGUAGACUUGAAUUGAAUAAGUUGACACCUGCUAAAAUAUCUUUGCAAAUGGCUGAUAAAUCAACUGCUAUACCUAUCGGUAUUUGUGAGGAUGUGCCUGUUGUGGUUGCAAAUGUCACUAUCUUAACGGACUUUGUUAUUCUUGACAUUCCCGAGGACGAUAGUAUGUCUAUUAUCCUUGGUAGACCUUUUAUUAAUAAUGCAGGGGCUGUUAUUGAUUGCAACAAAUGCAAUGUCACUUUUCAUGUUAAUGGUAAUGAGCAUACGGUACACUUUUCGAGGAAACAAUCUCAAGUACAUAGCAUCAAUUCUAUUGAAAAAGUUCCAACUAUCAUUUUUGGAGGUUUUGAAUUUCCUCUCCCUACUGUCAAGAAGAAGUAUGAUAUUCUUAUUGUUGGGGAUUUCCAUAUCCCCGUUGAGGUAACUUAG